UACGUAGGGCGCAAGCGUUGUCCGGAAUUAUUGGGCGUAAAGAGCUCGUAGGCGGUCUGUCACGUCGGCUGUGAAAUCCCGAGGCUCAACCUCGGGUCUGCAGUCGAUACGGGCAAACUAGAGUAUUGCAGGGGAGACUGGAAUUCCUGGUGUAGCGGUGAAAUGCGCAGAUAUCAGGAGGAACACCGGUGGCGAAGGCGGGUCUCUGGGCCGAUACUGACGCUGAGGAGCGAAAGCGUGGGGAGCGAACAGG
Molecule: ribosomal RNA, 253 nt
Filed under: uncultured bacterium
Lineage: Bacteria
Description: partial 16S ribosomal RNA
Rfam family: Bacterial small subunit ribosomal RNA
Source: RNAcentral